UCUCCUUCUUCUAGCUUCCUUAGUAAUCUUCUCACCCUUUUGUAGUAUUAUUUUACCCGUUUUGUGGUGAUUUUCUGGUUGAUGUCUAGAUCGGGAGGAUUUUGUUCCUCAAAUUGUCUUUUCAGUUUUUCUCAUUGUCAUCCAAUCUCAUAUGCUUCAAGAUCUAAGAUUACUCAACCCCUCAAUAGAUCAACUCUCUCUACUCAUUACCUCUAAGAAGAUGUCUAUGGUUGCAAGUAUAAAGUGCAAGUCACUUACCCACGCGAUUAUGGGUGCUCACGCAUGGGUUUUACACCCCCCCAUUCUCCAUCGGUCUCGUUCUUGUUCUCGUUCUAUGUUAUGGUUCUUGGUUACAACUUGGUAGCCAUGUUUCUUUCUUGAGAAGUGUUGUUAUGGUGGAAGGAUUGGUGUUGUUUUGUGGGAUCUCCUCUCUUUGGAGGCUGAGUGUUUUAUGGUCUGUGGUUUAGGAUUUGGCUGGCAACGGAACAUCAACUUGCUCAUCCAUGCAUGUCGUUCUGCCUCCGGUGGUUGAUCAAUGGCUUUAUAGAUCGGUAGCGACUGCGACGGCGACGGCGACGGCGACGGAAGAGGCAGCAGCUAGGGUUUGCUUGGGUGGCCGCUGGUUUAGCUUUGAUGUGUUUUGUGUAAUUUUAUUUUUAUCUUUAGGGUUACCAUUUUUACCUUUUCAUGUGGAUUGGGUUGAGUGGUAACUUCCCUAAUGUUUAUCUGUACUUGGGCCUUAUUUGGGCUCUUCCAUUGGACUUUCCCCUUUGGUAAUCAUUAAUAAAACUUUUCAUUAAUUCCAAAAAAAAAAUGUACAAAUUUAAGUAGAUGUAGUGGCUUGCAUGCUUCUCAUACCUUAAAGGUCACAUUCGAUUUGUAACAGGUCGCGAAUUUACAAUGGAUUUCACUCGGAGCAAUUAUAAUUAUGAAAAAUUGUAACAAUUUUCUUUUUUAGAAUGAAUUAAAAGCAACUUAAAAGGAAAAAAAUGGUGGAAUAAAUGUAAAAAGGUGACAUGAUGUCAUAUUGUAAGGCUUGGGUCCAA
This 1046-nucleotide long non-coding RNA is filed under the name Fragaria vesca (wild strawberry). Its description in RNAcentral is "long non-coding RNA (FVES_LNC002818)". Lineage: Eukaryota; Viridiplantae; Streptophyta; Magnoliopsida; Rosales; Rosaceae. The record is from RNAcentral.